ACCCCAAACCCUGCUUUGCCUCCAGCAUUUAUUAUAGUGUUAAAUGUAUAAAAACGUUUUUAAUUUAUAAUGGGGGUGGCACUCAGAGGCUUGCGAUGUGAAAGGGGUCACCGGUACAAAAGUUUGAGAACCACUGCUCUAUGGGCCCAGUCAUGUACAGGCCAUGCUGCUGCCCUCUGAGCCCAGAGCCCUUGGGAAUCACUCUCCACAAAGUCUGCAGCACAAACAAGUGUCCGGGCGCUGUUCAUUAGCAGUUGAGGCUCCUAAGGGCACCAAAACAAGCAGCCAUCAAAGCUGUGCGGGGAAUUGGGGUCAAGUGUUGGCACCAUCAACAUGACCGGUUGAGCCCCUCUGCAGGGCUUUUCCUUCACAGGUUCAAAGGCAGGAGUGUGUUGUCAUCCCUGGAUUACAAACUGGGAAACCAAGAACUCUUUCUAACAGCCCUUGACUAGCAUGUGGUGUGUGUGAUGGAGGCUUUACAGAGCAGGAAGCUACUUCACUGCCUCACCCUGUUUGCUUUUCUUUUUCAUUAGCCUUCUCCCUAGGGCAAAGCAUAGAAGUACUCGAUAAAGACAGAAAAUCGCUUGUUUCAUAGUAAAUCUGCAAAUAUGUGACCAAAAAUCCUCCUUAUUUAGAAUAAUAUGGAAACUGACCCUUGAAAUUAAAAUGAAGACACUGGGUUUGAUUGUUAAUUAUUCCUGCCCUGUCGGCUGUGGUGGGGGAGAGAGGCACAUCCAUCGCAUUAGAAAGGCUGUCCAGGCUCCUGAGGAAGUUCAGGAAGAAGGCUCUGCAGGUGGCCCCAGAGCCUGAGGGAAGCAGCUGCCAUCUUCCCCAGGAGCAAAGCGGCUUCUCCGUCCCUGCUGGCGGGGAAGGAGCUCCCCGCCGAGCGAGGAGGUGGAAGUGCCCAGCCUUCUGGCAGAGGAAAGCCACUCCUGGCGCAGGCGCUGAGCAGGAGGACGUCACGGCCAAAGUGAUGAACCAGCUCCGCAUGAUCCGGCACUUACGCCAGGUGCCUGAGACACUGCAGGGGCUGUGCCUCUGAGGCCAUCAGCAACUCCCGCUCC
Malaclemys terrapin pileata is the source of this 1064-nucleotide long non-coding RNA. RefSeq lists it as uncharacterized. The transcript is spliced from 3 exons. The record is from RefSeq and is a predicted model, not a curated record. Lineage: Eukaryota; Metazoa; Chordata; Testudines; Emydidae.